RNAcentral lists this ribosomal RNA (448 nucleotides) under uncultured bacterium. RNAcentral's name for it is "partial 16S ribosomal RNA". It matches the Rfam family "Bacterial small subunit ribosomal RNA", at positions 329 to 793 of the family's 1533-position model. The record is from RNAcentral.
UUCCAGACUCCUACGGGAGGCAGCAGUGGGGGAUAUUGCACAAUGGGGGAAACCCUGAUGCAGCGACGCCGCGUGAGUGAAGAAGUAAUUCGUUACGUAAAGCUCUAUCAGCAGGGAAGAAAAUGACGGUACCCAAGGAAUAAGCCCCGGCUAACUACGUGCCAGCAGCCGCGGUAAUACGUAGGGGGCAAGCGUUGUUCGGAAUGACUGGGCGUAAAGGGUGUGUAGGCGGUGUAGCAAGUUAGAAGUGAAAUACCUAGAGCUUAACUCAGGUGCUGCUUCUAAAACUGCUAUACUUGAGUGCAGUAGAGGAAAGUGGAAUUCCUAGUGUAGCGGUGGAAUGCGUAGAUAUUAGGAGGAACAUCAGUGGCGAAGGCGACUUUCUGGACUGUAACUGACGCUGAGGCACGAAAGUGUGGGGAGCAAACAGGAUUAGAUACCCUCGUAC